Pelodiscus sinensis (Chinese soft-shelled turtle) is the source of this 707-nucleotide non-coding RNA. The record is from RefSeq and is a predicted model, not a curated record. Lineage: Eukaryota; Metazoa; Chordata; Testudines; Trionychidae.
CAUGAUGGGCCAAAAGGAGGUCGCAUCCCAUUGACCACAAGCUGCAAGUCACCUGUCUGAGGACCUGCAAGCAUCUUUCAUUGUCACCUUAGCCAAAUGUCCCUCGUUUUUGCAUAAGUGCUAAUGUCAAUAUAUUUCUAUGUAAUUUUGAGACUACAGCAAACAAUUAGUGAAAUUUAACGCGACAAAGGAAUAAUUAUAACAGGGGGAGAAUGAGCAGAGGGAGGAUAGAUAUGCCACGCCUUCCCUAUAACAUGCUACAUCGCUGACUUUUAGUGUUGGGAUCAACAUUUCUGGGCAAUCCCAAUGAAACUACCAGGAGUGUCAGGCACGAGGAAGGGUCCUGAACCAGGCACGGCUGGGCCCAGAGCUGGAGAGGAGCGCAAGGCCAGGAACGGAUGCAGAGUCCCAUGUGGCGCAGGGGGAGAGCGCCAGACGUCACAGCUGGGAGCAGGUCUGUGUGGGGCUUACGCGGGAGCAGCCGCGGUGGGCAGGAAGCCAGUGCAAAGGAGAUACUGACGGAGCUGGCCCUGGACCACGUAAGCUCCUCUCUGGUUCAACAGCGACUGGCCUGGAAGAGACCCUGGAAGAGAACUGCCCGCAGCAACCCAAACUUUGGCCACUAUUGCUCACUUGGAACUGUAACUGGUCACGCCUCCAUAAAUGGGAUCCCUUUCCCUUAGUCGUGGGUCUCAGUCACAGGCAUC